Molecule: ribosomal RNA, 253 nt
Filed under: bacterium
Lineage: Bacteria
Also listed under: 1 other name
Description: partial 16S ribosomal RNA
Rfam family: Bacterial small subunit ribosomal RNA
Source: RNAcentral
UACGGAGGGUGCAAGCGUUAUCCGGAUUUACUGGGUUUAAAGGGUGCGUAGGCGGUACAGUAAGUCAGAGGUGAAAGAUUGUCGCUUAACGAUGAAAUUGCCUUUGAUACUGCUAUACUUGAAUCAGAAUGAGGUUGGCGGAAUGUGACAUGUAGCGGUGAAAUGCUUAGAUAUGUCAUGGAACACCGAUUGCGAAGGCAGCUGACUGGCACUCGAUUGACGCUGAGGCACGAAAGCGUGGGGAGCAAACAGG